RNAcentral lists this ribosomal RNA (492 nucleotides) under uncultured bacterium. Its description in RNAcentral is "partial 16S ribosomal RNA". It matches the Rfam family "Bacterial small subunit ribosomal RNA", at positions 29 to 507 of the family's 1533-position model. The record is from RNAcentral.
AGUGAGCGCUGGCGGUAGGCCUAACACGUGCAAGUCGAACGGCAGCACAGUAAGAGCUUGCUCUUACGGGUGGCGAGUGGCGGACGGGUGAGGAAUACAUCGGAAUCUACUUUUUCGUGGGGGAUAACGUAGGGAAACUUACGCUAAUACCGCAUACGACCUACGGGUGAAAGCAGGGGAUCUUCGGACCUUGCGCGAUUGAAUGAGCCGAUGUCGGAUUAGCUAGUUGGCGGGGUAAAGGCCCACCAAGGCGACGAUCCGUAGCUGGUCUGAGAGGAUGAUCAGCCACACUGGAACUGAGACACGGUCCAGACUCCUACGGGAGGCAGCAGUGGGGAAUAUUGGACAAUGGGCGCAAGCCUGAUCCAGCCAUACCGCGUGGGUGAAGAAGGCCUUCGGGUUGUAAAGCCCUUUUGUUGGGAAAGAAAAGCAGCAGGUUAAUACCCCGCUGUUCUGACGGUACCCAAAGAAUAAGCACCGGCUAACUUCGUG